Molecule: ribosomal RNA, 253 nt
Filed under: uncultured bacterium
Lineage: Bacteria
Description: partial 16S ribosomal RNA
Rfam family: Bacterial small subunit ribosomal RNA
Source: RNAcentral
UACGGAGGGUGCAAGCGUUAUCCGGAUUCACUGGGCUUAAAGCGUGUGUAGGUGGAAGCGUAAGUACCUUGUGAAAUCCCACGGCUUAACCGUGGAACUGCUUGGUAUACUGCGUUUCUUGAGCCAACUAGGGGCUAUCGGAACAAGUGGUGGAGCGGUGAAAUGCGUAGAUAUCGUAAGGAAGACCAGUGGCGAAGGCGGGUCUCUGGACAGUUCCUGACGCUGAGGCACGAAGGUCAGGGGAGCAAACGGG